AAGGCAAUGGAGGAGCUGGAGAAGGGCGCGAUCGUGAACCCGGCCUGGGCGAGGGCCGCAUGGUCGGGCACUACUGGUUGAGGAAGUCGGAACUUGUGCGGGUCGGAUUUCCCGUGGGAGCCUCUAGCGCGACGGAGAUGGCCUUCUCUGGAUUCGUUGACUGAAUCUUCAUCGGCUGAUCAUGGCGACUCUUCCUCUUUCAAGUAGGGAUGGAGGGACUUUUAAUGAAUUGGCAUGCCGAGAUGGCCGAGCAAGCUGCGUUGGUUGUUCAGCUCGUCAAGCAAUGUCUGUUUUCCGAUUCGCUCGAGAUCAGGGACUACCUUAAAGCGAUCGAGCACUUGAGCUCUAUGCGACUCGGAUUCAAGGACGUCGAAAUGUUUCUGUUCAGGCCGGAAGUGAAUGUGCUGCUGAACUUGGUCGGCUUGCAUUACUGCAUGCACUGGCUUGAAGUGCCAGCUGAGCAUGUCAUGGAAGCGCUUCAGAAUUGCAAGAUCUAGCAUUGCCUCAGGAAAAUGAGGUCCUCAGUGUGCUUCAUUGAGGUGCCAUUCAUGAGGUCCUUCGCGUCCAAAUUUCUGUAUUCCAUUCUACUAGCACUUCCUGGUCCUUCCCAGAGCGCGCAAGUCUGUGAUCAAUGAUGAUUGAUAUAGACAUCUGGUUGUACCAUAGAAGUAUGAUCAUGGUAUGUACUGGUGUCUAAGAAGAUUGGGGUUUGUGCAUGUUAGUGUGCAUACCUGUUUAGUGUGCAUAUCUGCGGCCUCAUUUUGUCAUGCACGAUUGCCAUCAAACUAGUUUCAUUUUCUAUCAAUAACUGUUGAUUCCUGGUUAGUUUUAGCACAUUCAUCAACUGAGGUAAGAGUGGAACGAUAUACAAUGCCUGCAUCAACCUAUAGAUUUUUUGCUUGUGGCUAUUGGUUAGUCAUUCGUUUUUUCUGUCCCAUGCCAGCAUAUAGAUACUUUGUCUUGCAACAGAAGGCC
This is a long non-coding RNA of Eucalyptus grandis, 975 nucleotides long. RefSeq lists it as uncharacterized. The transcript has 3 exons. The record is from RefSeq and is a predicted model, not a curated record. Lineage: Eukaryota; Viridiplantae; Streptophyta; Magnoliopsida; Myrtales; Myrtaceae.